RNAcentral lists this long non-coding RNA (1236 nucleotides) under Coturnix japonica (Japanese quail). RNAcentral describes it as "lncRNA (ENSCJPG00005016567.1)". Lineage: Eukaryota; Metazoa; Chordata; Aves; Galliformes; Phasianidae. The record is from RNAcentral.
GUGAAUCUCUGUCUUCCAAAGGCUACACUGUGGAUGUCUCACAGUCUCCUUAGAAGUAAUCUGUCUGAAGCUGAGAAUACCAUCUUUCCUCUACAUGUCUGUGAACAAAUACUUCUCCUUGCUCCUCAUUCUGCUACUCCUUUUGGUCUCUCCUAGAGCAAAUUUAAGUUUCUGCUUUCCUUGCCAACAUCCAUUUUGGUUAUAAUGAGAUGGCAGUGGUUACUUUUCUGUUAUUAUUAUUAUUAUUUUUCUCUUUUAUUUUUGUCCAGCUGUUGGCAUUGUGAAAGAAAGGAGAGAAAAUGUUGUAGUCUCCAGCCAUCACCAUCCCCCUGACUGCUGCAGUAACCUGGAGGUUGUUCGGUACUGACUUCCUUCUCCUUUGGCCUGUCAGAGUAUGAUCUUCACGCUAGCCAGAAAUCUGUGGACCAUAACAUGGGUGUCUUUACAAUCACAGCAACAAAAGAGCAGAGGUGUCACAAACAAAGGAAGGUCCAUGCAGUAGUCACUGAGUGUGUCAAGUUCCCUGAGUUGUGGAAGAAUGGGGCUGGAAGUCACCAGAAUGUUUGCGGAAAUGCUAUAAGCCCUGAGAAGUCGCAGAAGGAUGCUCUGGGUCUGUGGCAGUCUGGCUGAAGCUCAGAACAAAAUUCAAGGGAGUCCAGCAUUGCACACAGAGUUUCUUCUGCUGUAUUAAUUGAGAGAGAGAGAAGGCAGAGGACUUAAACUGUGUUACUCAAAGGUAAGUGUUUUGAUAGCCUGCUCAGUUCUCAGUACUUUGAGGAGUUCGAGAAAUCCCUUUAAACUGUGCACGUCCUAUUAUUUGUACAUUAGAAGUUGUUAAGGUGUCUUCACCUUCACUUGUGGAUUGUUUUCUGUCAUGCUUUAACUGGUACAUAGGCUACGCCUUUCUCCGUUUCACCCUGACAUCAUUCCCGGGCCUUUUUAUUUGUCAAAGGCUUGCAUUCCAAUUUGGGGACUGAUAAAGAUUGAGGACUUGGGGAUCCAAGAACCUUAAGUUCUUAUUGAGUGUUUGCUGCAAAAAUAAUGUUCUGACCAACUCAUUAACUAGCUAGAUGGACUUACUCUGCUUUGUAAUGUGUUUCAUACUUCCAUGCUCUAAACGAUGCUGUUGUCUGUCUUUGUCAAAUCAGUUGGAAAUUAAAUACAAAUUCCAUUUACAGGUCAUUAUUUUUUUGCAUUGCUGUUGUUUUGAUAGGAGCAUACGCGUGUAUGUUAAGC